RNAcentral lists this long non-coding RNA (784 nucleotides) under Sus scrofa (pig). The record is from RNAcentral. Lineage: Eukaryota; Metazoa; Chordata; Mammalia; Artiodactyla; Suidae.
UGCUUAAUUGAUGCUGCGGGGAGCACACACUCUGAUAAUAAGACAAUGAUGACAGAAUAGGUAUCAGGAAAGGCUUUUAUUGCUUAUAAGCGCCAUCGGCUUCCUUCCAAGAGAGAUUGCUGCUUUGUGGUAUAGUUUUUUCUUUUAAUAGUAGUGUGCUAAUGGUUUUUAUUCUAACUCGGCCAGCACUGAGUGUCUCCAGGAAAAAGGGGUUCCAUAAGAAGUGGCAUCCUCCUCCAGUUGAAAGAUUCUUGGGCUGAUGGAGUAAGUGAGUGACGGAGUGGGUUGCCAACUGUAGUUACUCCACUCAAUGCGGAAUGGCUGCAGGGAAUAUAUUCUGAUGUGCCCAAAGAAGUCUGCCCAGGGUGAAACAAAUACCUUUGAGGUUUAAAUCAGAAAACAUAAACACAUUUCCCUUAUAGGAAGAAGUUGUAUUUAAAAGCCUCUGUUUAAUUUAUUCAGAAACUACACGAUUUUUGUUGCUAUAUUUUGUUAUAAAGGAAGAGAGGCUGUUUCUACAGGUGUCAUAGAAAAGUCGAUGCUGAGCCAUGGAUUAUUGGAUCUCAUAGAACCACGGAGACUUGGCAGUAAAAUCCUUCCAAAGGCAGACGGUGUUCCUAGGUUUGGAAACGUACCUCCCAGGGGAAGUGAGCUGAGGAACAUUUUAUGCAUCAUUCAUCCGGUUAUGAGCCCUUGCUGCUCCAUCUCUGCACAAGAUGUUGAAACAACAGCAACAACAAAAAUUGUUUAUAAUGUGUAUUCUAACUUUGGAUCAUCUGGUUAA